AAGUCGUAACAAGGUUUCCGUAGGUGAACCUGCGGAAGGAUCAUUAGCUUACUGUACGGCCAGUGUGCGGAUUCGAAAGAGUCUUGCGCUGCGCCAUACGACAACCGUGUGAACCGGGAAUGCGAUUUCGCUGCGGUGCUGGAGCCGACGGCUUGUCUGUCGGCACCAGCAUCCAGCCCUAAACCUUUGUAACAAAUGCGCAACCAUACAACAAAAAUGUUAAAUCUUACACAACUUUUAACAAUGGAUCUCUAGGCUCCU
This 261-nucleotide unclassified non-coding RNA is filed under the name fungal sp. Its description in RNAcentral is "partial internal transcribed spacer region". The stretch from base 1 to 46 matches the Rfam family "Eukaryotic small subunit ribosomal RNA", at positions 1786 to 1831 of the family's 1831-position model. Lineage: Eukaryota; Fungi. The record is from RNAcentral.